UACGUAGGGUGCAAGCGUUGUCCGGAAUUAUUGGGCGUAAAGAGCUCGUAGGCGGUUUGUUGCGUCGGCUGUGAAAGCCCGGGGCUUAACCCCGGGUCUGCAGUCGAUACGGGCAGGCUAGAGUGUGGUAGGGGAGAUCGGAAUUCCUGGUGUAGCGGUGAAAUGCGCAGAUAUCAGGAGGAACACCGGUGGCGAAGGCGGAUCUCUGGGCCAUUACUGACGCUGAGGAGCGAAAGCGUGGGGAGCGAACAGG
RNAcentral lists this ribosomal RNA (253 nucleotides) under uncultured bacterium. RNAcentral's name for it is "partial 16S ribosomal RNA". It matches the Rfam family "Bacterial small subunit ribosomal RNA", at positions 524 to 776 of the family's 1533-position model. The record is from RNAcentral.